GGCUGGGCGGCUGCGGCGCGGUCGCGGCGUCGCGGGGGCCGGGUCCACCGCGGGCGAGCUGGGGAGCACAGGGCGUGUCUGUUUAUCCCUGUCGACUUGGGUGGCGCUAGGCUAGGGGGCUCUUCCUCCCUGCCACCCCCGGCGGUCGCCUCGGCCCAGGGCUCCCGUUCCGGCGUCUGCCCCGCUCCUCGGCUUUCAGCUCCCUCCACCCUCCGUCCCGCGCGCGCCGGGCGCGGAGAGUUCGCCCCGGAACCCGAGCCGCGGGUUGCGCGCAUGCGGCUAAGGCCCGGGAGGGCAGGGCCGCCUCCCACGCCCACGCGCCGCCCCGCCUCCGCUGGCCGAAAGCCCUGGAGCGUGGCCCCGCGGCUCCGCUCGCCGCCCUCUGCCUGUCGGUGUGGGAAAGCCUUCCUGCCGGUUAAAUUCAGCUUCCCAAACCCACUUUUCUCUCCGCCGUGGAUGUGCAAAGCGCCCCACGUGAUAGUAACCGGAGCAGAGGAGACAGGCGCAGAGAGGCGAGGGACCAGGUCAGGGCAUCUCGCUGAAGAGGUGUGGUGAUGGCAGACACCUGUUUCCUGCAGGGACCAGUUAUCCAGCCACGUUUUAUAGAGAGGUAGACUCAACCUUCCUUGGCUGUAAGGUGGGCACACACUUGCCUUGUGAGCAACUUUGUGAUUUAAGUGUUAAACCCUGCCAUGAGAAAAGCAAUACAAUUCUGUUUCCUUAAAUUUUAUCCAUCAAUUUUGCAAAACAACACACAAAUCUGCUUCCUCUGCCAUACUACCCCAGCGUCAGCACUUUGUCCACUUGGCAAAUUCGUUUGUUUUUUGGUUUUUGUAUUUGUUCCCGUAACUGAACUCAGGACCUUGCCCUUGCCGGGCAGGUGUUGUACCACUGAGCUGUGUCCCCCCCCCCCUCCUGCUCAUUCUUGAACACUUUGCCCAAGGAGCACUUCUCCUGGGGAACAAUUACAUGUCUGUGCCCCAAACAGAGCAUACAUUCUUUUGUUGUUGUUUUUUAUUUUAAAGAGGAAAAAAAAUAACAAAAUAACAACAAAGACAAAAACAAAACAACACAAAAGCAAUAAAAAUGAUACAGGACUUCAAAAUAAGAUGAUAAGAGUUAACUGUGGUUGUUACAUGACAUAUUGUUAUCUUCAACAAAGUUGCUCAGAUUACCAGAUGUAAGAAUGCAAGAUUGAUCAAACUGGGGCUGGGGAUUUAGCCCAGCGGCACAGCGCCUGUCUGGCAAGCGCGAGGUUGUGAGUUCGAUUCCCGGUACCAGAAAAAAAAAAAAAGAUUGAUCAAACCAUUACAGAGAAUAAAAAAUAAAAACAAAAACCAUUAGAAAUGAUACAGAGCUUCAUUAAACAAAAUGAUAGGAAUUCAGCAAUGGUUGUUCUGUUGCAUAUUGUUGUCUUCAAAUUAGUUGUUCCGAUUACCAGGU
Molecule: long non-coding RNA, 1443 nt
Filed under: Chinchilla lanigera (long-tailed chinchilla)
Lineage: Eukaryota; Metazoa; Chordata; Mammalia; Rodentia; Chinchillidae
Description: lncRNA (ENSCLAG00000023715.1)
Source: RNAcentral